Molecule: ribosomal RNA, 384 nt
Filed under: uncultured bacterium
Lineage: Bacteria
Description: bacterial SSU rRNA
Rfam family: Bacterial small subunit ribosomal RNA
Source: RNAcentral
GACGAACGCUGGCGGCGUGCUUAACACAUGCAAGUCGAGCGGUAAGGCCCUUUCGGGGGUACACGAGCGGCGAACGGGUGAGUAACACGUGGGUGACCUGCCCUUAGCUCUGGGAUAAGCCUGGGAAACUGGGUCUAAUACCGGAUAUGACUCCAUGACGCAUGUUGUGGGGUGGAAAGCCUUGUGCGGCUAGGGAUGGGCCUGCGGCCUAUCAGCUUGUUGGUGGGGUGAUGGCCUACCAAGGCGACGACGGGUAGCCGGCCUGAGAGGGCGACCGGCCACACUGGGACUGAGACACGGCCCAGACUCCUACGGGAGGCAGCAGUGGGGAAUCUUGCGCAAUGGGCGAAAGCCUGACGCAGCGACGCCGCGUGGGGAUGACGG